GCGUAAAGCGCACGCAGGCGGUCUGUCAAGUCGGAUGUGAAAUCCCCGGGCUCAACCUGGGAACUGCAUUCGAAACUGGCAGGCUUGAGUCUUGUAGAGGGGGGUAGAAUUCCAGGUGUAGCGGUGAAAUGCGUAGAGAUCUGGAGGAAUACCGGUGGCGAAGGCGGCCCCCUGGACAAAGACUGACGCUCAGGUGCGAAAGCGUGGGGAGCAAACAGGAUUAGAUACCCUGGUAGUCCACGCCGUAAACGAUGUCUACUUGGAGGUUGUGCCCUUGAGGCGUGGCUUCCGGAGCUAACGCGUUAAGUAGACCGCCUGGGGAGUACGGCCGCAAGGUUAAAACUCAAAUGAAUUGACGGGGGCCCGCACAAGCGGUGGAGCAUGUGGUUUAAUUCGAUGCAACGCGAAGAACCUUACCUGGUCUUGACAUCCACAGAACUUUCCAGAGAUGGAUUGGUGCCUUCGGGAACUGUGAGACAGGUGCUGCAUGGCUGUCGUCAGCUCGUGUUGUGAAAUGUUGGGUUAAGUCCCGCAACGAGCGCAACCCUUAUCCUUUGUU
This 559-nucleotide ribosomal RNA is filed under the name Salmonella enterica subsp. enterica. RNAcentral describes it as "bacterial SSU rRNA". It matches the Rfam family "Bacterial small subunit ribosomal RNA", at positions 558 to 1116 of the family's 1533-position model. Lineage: Bacteria; Pseudomonadati; Pseudomonadota; Gammaproteobacteria; Enterobacterales; Enterobacteriaceae. The record is from RNAcentral.